This 476-nucleotide ribosomal RNA is filed under the name Granulicatella adiacens. Its description in RNAcentral is "bacterial SSU rRNA". It matches the Rfam family "Bacterial small subunit ribosomal RNA", at positions 28 to 485 of the family's 1533-position model. The record is from RNAcentral. Lineage: Bacteria; Bacillati; Bacillota; Bacilli; Lactobacillales; Carnobacteriaceae.
GACGAACGCUGGCGGCGUGCCUAAUACAUGCAAGUCGAACGAGAGCGACCGGUGCUUGCACUGGUCAAUCUAGUGGCGAACGGGUGAGUAACACGUGGGUAACCUGCCCAUCAGAGGGGGAUAACAUUCGGAAACGGAUGCUAAAACCGCAUAGGUCUUCGAACCGCAUGGUUUGAAGAGGAAAAGAGGCGCAAGCUUCUGCUGAUGGAUGGACCCGCGGUGCAUUAGCUAGUUGGUGAGGUAACGGCUCACCAAGGCCGUGAUGCAUAGCCGACCUGAGAGGGUGAUCGGCCACAUUGGGACUGAGACACGGCCCAAACUCCUACGGGAGGCAGCAGUAGGGAAUCUUCCGCAAUGGACGCAAGUCUGACGGAGCAACGCCGCGUGAGUGAAGAAGGUUUUCGGAUCGUAAAACUCUGUUGUUAGAGAAGAACAAGUGCUAGAGUAACUGUUAGCGCCUUGACGGUAUCUAACCA